GGAGACGUAUCGAAGCGGUCAUAACGGGGCGCACUCGAAAUGCGUUUGGCCUCCGGGCCACGAGGGUUCGAAUCCCUCCGUCUCCG
RNAcentral lists this transfer RNA (86 nucleotides) under Eubacteriales bacterium. RNAcentral describes it as "tRNA-Ser". It matches the Rfam family "tRNA". Rfam says of the family: Transfer RNA (tRNA) molecules are approximately 80 nucleotides in length. Their secondary structure includes four short double-helical elements and three loops (D, anti-codon, and T loops). Further hydrogen bonds mediate the characteristic L-shaped molecular structure. tRNAs have two regions of fundamental functional importance: the anti-codon, which is responsible for specific mRNA codon recognition, and the 3' end, to which the tRNAs corresponding amino acid is attached (by aminoacyl-tRNA synthetases). tRNAs cope with the degeneracy of the genetic code in two manners: having more than one tRNA (with a specific anti-codon) for a particular amino acid; and 'wobble' base-pairing, i.e. permitting non-standard base-pairing at the 3rd anti-codon position. Lineage: Bacteria; Bacillati; Bacillota; Clostridia; Eubacteriales. The record is from RNAcentral.